AUACGUAGGUGGCAAGCGUUGUCCGGAAUUAUUGGGCGUAGAGCGCGCGCAGGUGGUUCCUUAAGUCUGAUGUGAAAGCCCCCGGCUCAACCGGGGAGGGUCAUUGGAAACUGGGGAACUUGAGUGCAGAAGAGGAUAGUGGAAUUCCAAGUGUAGCGGUGAAAUGCGUAGAGAUUUGGAGGAACACCAGUGGCGAAGGCGAGUUGCGGGUCUGUAACGGCAACUGAGGCGCGAAAGCGUGGGGAGCAAACAGGAUUAGAUACCCUGGUAGUCCACGCCGUAAACGAUGAGUGCUAAGUGUUGGGGGGUUUCCGCCCCUCAGUGCUGCAGCUAACGCAUUAAGCACCCCGCCUGGGGAGUACGGUCGCAAGACUGAAACUCAAAGGAAUUGACGGGG
RNAcentral lists this ribosomal RNA (397 nucleotides) under uncultured bacterium. RNAcentral describes it as "partial 16S ribosomal RNA". It matches the Rfam family "Bacterial small subunit ribosomal RNA", at positions 523 to 918 of the family's 1533-position model. The record is from RNAcentral.